Molecule: long non-coding RNA, 1077 nt
Filed under: Fukomys damarensis (Damara mole-rat)
Lineage: Eukaryota; Metazoa; Chordata; Mammalia; Rodentia; Bathyergidae
Description: lncRNA (ENSFDAG00000030550.1)
Source: RNAcentral
GCAGGGAGUGUCUUAAUGCCCUCCUUACCUCUGCAGUUCUCUACAAGAGCUACAAGAACAAAUUCUCACAACCUUGUGGUCUGGAGCAACAGUGAUUCUUUCCCUCAUAGUUCUGAAAGCCGGAAGUUGGCAGUUGGAUCCCAUUGCAGGUUCUAAAGGAAGGUAUGUUCUGGCCACUCCUAGCUUCCAGUAGCUGCUGGCCAUUGCCUGGGCAUUCGUAGGCCUGUAAUGGGUCCCAGUGUCCUGAUUUCUGCUCCUGUUUUCCAUGGCCCUCCCUCUGCCUCUCUUCAUCCCCAGCUCUGUUCAUAAGGACACCUGCCCUUGGAUUUAGGAACUGCUGUAAUGUCAUCCAGCAUGACCUCAUCGUAACUCAUUACAUCUCAAAGCUGUGUUUCCAUGUAUGGUCACAUUCUGACCAUGAUCACAGGUGAACAUGACAUUUGGAAGGACGAUGUUCAACCUAGUAACAACUCUAAGGCUUAGCUCAAGCAUACGAAGGCAUCAAGAAGUUUUGCUCCUGCCACACCCUGCACAGGCACUGACAAGGAGAUGGAUGGAGACUGUUAUAGCAGGCAACACACUGGAGACAAAGCACUUGGAAGAGAUCAUUCUGAUAGCAGAAGCAAAGGAGUCUCGGGCAAUCUCAGCAUAGUACAGAGGAUGUGCAGGUGUCUUGGAAUGGAAGAAUGGGAGGGGUGCUGCUUGGCCUUCAGGCCCAACCUGCACAUCCCCAAAAGUGGCAAUAGGAGACCAGGCCAGAAGCCAUAGGAGCCAGCAGAGGCUUCAGGAAUGUGGCCACAGCAUCACUUUCAACUUGGCCCUAGCCUUCCUGACUGUAUGAGCCAAGAAAGCAAAUUAAUCUCUCUGAGCCUAUUUCCUAACCUAUAAAUUGGGGAUAAUAACAGGAAACUGACCCAGAAUGAGGAUGACAUGAGAUGCUCAUUUGGGUGAGGCACUGGCUCAACAACGGAAACCACUGUUACCCUACAGAUGCCUGACAAAUGGCUUAACAUGCAUCUCCUCUGUUUCUGAGCACUCUAUGGCUCCCCAGUGUCACAGCAUUUCUGCCAAGCCCCU